Molecule: transfer RNA, 86 nt
Filed under: Posidoniimonas polymericola
Lineage: Bacteria; Pseudomonadati; Planctomycetota; Planctomycetia; Pirellulales; Lacipirellulaceae
Description: Planctomycetes bacterium Pla123a tRNA-Ser
Source: RNAcentral
GCAGGUGGUAGGCGGUGACGCCGAGCGAGUAGAGGUCGCUCCGCACGUCGACCGGGCGGCCCUCGAUCUGCUCGGGGCUCAUGUAC